CAGUAGCCGCGGUAAAACGGAGGGUGCAAGCGUUAAUCGGAAUUACUGGGCGUAAAGCGCACGCAGGCGGUCUGACAAGUCAGAUGUGAAAUCCCCGGGCUUAACCUGGGAACUGCAUUUGAAACUGUCAGGCUGGAGUCUUGUAGAGGGGGGUGGAAUUCCAGGUGUAGCGGUGAAAUGCGUAGAGAUCUGGAGGAAUACCGGUGGCGAAGGCGGCCCCCUGGACAAAGACUGACGCUCAGGCGCGAAAGCGUGGGGAGCAAACAGGAUUAGAUACCCGCGUAGUCCCUGUCUCUUAUAC
Molecule: ribosomal RNA, 301 nt
Filed under: uncultured bacterium
Lineage: Bacteria
Description: partial 16S ribosomal RNA
Rfam family: Bacterial small subunit ribosomal RNA
Source: RNAcentral